GACGAACGCUGGCGGCGUGCUUAACACAUGCAAGUCGAACGGUGAAGCGCUUGCCUUUUUGGUGGGUGUGGAUGAGUGGCGAACGGGUGAGUAACACGUGAGUAACCUGCCCUCUUCUUCUGGAUAACCUCAUGAAAGUGGGGCUAAUACGGGGUAUUCCGGGUCUGUCGCAUGGCGGGUUUGGGAAAGAUUGCGCCUUUGGGUGUUUUCGGUGGGGGAUGGGCUCGCGGCCUAUCAGCUUGUUGGUGGGGUGAUGGCCUACCAAGGCGGUGACGGGUAGCCGGCCUGAGAGGGUGGACGGCCACACUGGGACUGAGACACGGCCCAGACUCCUGCGGGAGGCAGCAGUGGGGAAUAUUGCACAAUGGGCGCAAGCCUGAUGCAGCGACGCCGCGUGAGGGAUGGAGGCCUUCGGGUUGUGAACCUCUUUCGCCAGUGAAGCAGGCCUGCUCCUGUGUGGGUGAGUUGACGGUAGCUGGAUAAGAAGCGCCGGCUAACUACGU
RNAcentral lists this ribosomal RNA (503 nucleotides) under uncultured bacterium. Its description in RNAcentral is "partial 16S ribosomal RNA". It matches the Rfam family "Bacterial small subunit ribosomal RNA", at positions 28 to 506 of the family's 1533-position model. The record is from RNAcentral.